CCCUGUUGUUGAAGGAAUUCUUCCUCGAGCCCCCUUUAACACGACGGUGAUUCUCGUCGGCCGCCAUUCUCCUCCUCUCCUUCCUCCAAGUCCUAAACGUCCCCUCGAGAAUGACCUCCGGGAUGGAGGGCACGGCGAGGAAACCCUCGGAGAGGAGUUGGGGGACUGAAUAGGCCAAGGACCAGUACUGAGAAAAUGGCUGGGUGGCUAAGCUCUCAGGCAAAAGAAAGGUCCUAUCGGA
This 241-nucleotide long non-coding RNA is filed under the name Elaeis guineensis (African oil palm). RNAcentral's name for it is "long non-coding RNA (EGUI_LNC050706)". The record is from RNAcentral. Lineage: Eukaryota; Viridiplantae; Streptophyta; Magnoliopsida; Arecales; Arecaceae.